UUUUUUUCUUUUUUUUUUUUUUUUCCCGGUCUUUUUGCCUUUUCUAGGGACACUCCAGCGGCAUAUGGAGAUUUCCAGGCUAGGGGUCUAACUGGCCUACAUCAGAGCCACCGCAACAAGGGAUUCGAGAAGUUCUUAACCCACUGAGCAAGGCCAGGGAUCGAACCUACAACCUCAUGGUUCCUAGUCAGAUUCGUUAACCACUGAGCCACGACGGGGACUCCAAGAAUAUGUUUCUAAUUACCUACAGCAUCCCCCCUGCUACUCCCUGACCCCAUCCCUCCCCAAGCUCUGGGGCUGCAGACAUAGAGGUGACAGGUUACUCUGACACUGAGGAUUUAAUUAGACCCCUGGCUGGCCGGCAGUGGGGGUUGUCUGCUCCCCGAGCAGCAUGCGCAGGCUUGUGCCCCAAGGUCUGCUCUGUGGUCUCCCCUCCACUCAGUUCCCGUUAACUGCCUCCUCCCCUUUGACCCCCUCGCCUGCCUCACCAGGCACCCCUUUGGUCCCCUUUUCCCGAUUCCCCAAUAUCCCAGCUGCCAGCCUCCUCCCAGCUCCCUCCCACACCAUCGUGCCUUUCUUUUUCUAGGUCGGCGGUGACGCAGGGGUCUGGCAUACAAGGGGAGCAUCUCUGGCUGGGCAUGUUUCAGGAUCACUUACUGCACAGCCAUAUCCCACCCCCCAGAAGUGGGGCUGAGCAGGAGCCCCAAGUCUUGGGCGCCUCAUGACAUUCCUGGAGUAACUCUGUAGUGGAAUCUGGUCCAGAGGGCAGAGGAGUUGGGAAAGGCAGCCUUUUCCUGGAAGGAGUUGAAGGAAUGGCCAUGGCUGGAAUCUCAGAGCCCUGCUGGGAGAAGGGGCAGGAGCUUUGACCAUCUCUCCGGAGAUGCCCCAACCUGAACCCAAUACUGGAGUCAAUCUAAGUCUCCAUUUCUUUCUCUCUACUCCCAUCUUUUCUUUCUUUUCUUUUUUUUUUUUUUUUUUUUUUUUUGUCUUUUGAGGGCCGCACCCGCAGCAUUUGGAAGUUCCCAGGCUAGGGGUCCAAUCGGAGCUGUAGCUGCCGGGCUACACCACAGCCACAGCAAUGCCAGAUCCAAGCCGUGUCUGUGACCUACACCACAGCUCAUGGCAACGCCGGAUCCUUAACCCACUGAGCAAGGCCGGGGAUCGAACCCGCAACCUCAUGGUUCCUCGUCAGAUUCGUUUCCGCUUGUGCCAUGAUGGGAACUCCCCAUCUUGCCUUCUUGAUAAUGGAAAGCCCAGCCCCUAACCCUCAGCCGACAGACAUCAGGUCUUGAUCUCUGCUAAUGAGCUGGGAAAUGGAAACCAAAUGCCUGAUGGACUAGGGGAUCCCCCAGAUCCCUGCUCCAAACCGCAGAGGCGCAAAUGACAUUUCUUAGGGAGGCAGGACGACAGAGCACUCAACUCAAGCACUUGAGUUUUAAGUUAUCCCAGGUACGGUGGCCCCACCAGGACACAAGAGGCUGGUCCCUGCUGUCUCCUCUCUUCCACCUCUGCCAGGAUGCUGAUGCCCUUGUGACAACUAGAGGAACUUUUCAAGGGUAUUUGUUUUGUUUGUUCGUUUUGGCUGUGCCCUCGGCAGGCGAAGUUCCUGGGCCAGGAAUGGAAGUCUCGCCAUAGCAGUGACAAUGCCAAAUCCCUAACCCACUGCAUCUCUCUCAAUGCCACCAGGGAACUCCCCAUUUAAGGGUAUUUGGAGGCCACAGUGGUUGGACUUAGGUGCAAACUAGCCCAGCAACUCCUCUGCGGAGCCUGGUUCUCCCCACUGUGACACUGCCUGGGACAGUUCACUUCCUCUGGCCUGGCGGCGGUGGAGGGUGUAUCCACAUGGACACAGAACUGCUUUUAUUCCCUUCUUUUUUGACAGCUAGGACCUGCCUCCCAGAUCAUGGGGGCACGCCCGGGGUGGGGAGGGGGGUUUCCGUGGGAUGUAGGAGUCCCCCUCCCAAAGUGCACCUCCUCUGCUCUCUGGUGCUAGACAGCUCCCCACAAACCCUGCAGUGGGUCUCCUCCUGUGUGGGGGUCACGCAUUCACAGCCGGGAGGGAAGUAGGUGCAUACUCUGUGAAUGCCACUCCCCCUCUCCUCGCAGCACACGCAUGCACACUUGGGCUCAUUCAGCCCACACAGACAUGCCACACGCAUGUGCGCACACCCAGAUGGAGGACACGUGCUCUGUAAAAGCCCUCACUGUCAUUCACAGUUCAGGUGUCACUUUGCUACAUGCAUGCAUGCUCACACACGCACAGAUACACACACGAUAAAUAAACAUGUAUCCCAAAGCCCACACACACACACACACACACACACACACACACACGAUAAACAUGUAUCCCAAAGGCACUUCCCAGGCCACACAGGAACAACUUUCCAAGCAUUUUCAGCUUUUCUUUUUUUUGAGGCCUAUGAAAGGAAAAGGACCUCUUACCAUCCAUUCAGAGCUUGGGAAGAGGGGCUGGAAGAAAGGGGAAUUUAAAGAGAUGGCUUAGGGAGUUCCUGUCGUGGCGCAGUGGUGAAUGAAUCCAACUAAGAACCAUGAGAUUUCGGAUUCGAUCCCUGCCCUUGCUCAGUGGGUUAAGGAUCCGAGUUGCCGUGAGCUGUGGUGUAGGUCGCAGACACAGCUCAGAUCCCACAUUGCUGUGGCUCUGACAUAGGCCAGUGGCUACAGCUCCGAUUAGACCCCUAGCCUGGGAAUCUCCAUAUGCCGUGGGAGCGGCCCAGAGAAAUAGCAAAAAGACAAAAAAAAAAAAAAAAAAAAAGAAAGAAAGAGAGAGAUGCUCCAGCUACAUUUGGCUUAGGGACCUAAAACUUAAUUGUCUGCCUACCUACAGUCCCCUCCUCCCCCAACAUGCCUUGGCCUCAGCGCCAGAAGUGGGGGGCCCUAGGCAGAGCAGCCAGGGGGUCCAGGGAGCAACCUGAGGUCACUCAGUUCUUUAUCUCCUGCUGCUGGCAGGGGCCUGCAGUGCCUGAGGGAGACCAGAUGGCCAGGGGAUGCUGCCACCAAGACAGAGCUAGAGUGACAAGAACCACAGCUUCAGACUGAGAUUCUGAUGGCGCAGGUGCUAGUGCAUCAGGGGCCAGUGAAAUUGAGGCCGGGAAUCCAGGAGACAGUGGGACGGGCAGUGGGGUGGGUGGGGAGAUCCCCCAGCAGACUCUAGGCUGCCCACGACCUUCCAGAAAGGGGGCCCCCAUCCAAGAGAUCCAAUACAAACACACACACACAAACAUGGCACAGGCUAGGGCACUGGGAGUUGACCAGGAAUCCAGUGCUACCAUGUGGGCACACAUGCUGGGACUGGCACUGAGAACCCAGGGCCCCGUGAGCCCAGGACAGCAAGAUCAAAGCUGCCCCCCCAACCCCCACAACCCCUCAGAAUCAAAUCUCAGCACAACUCCCCAGUCAGCCAUCUAGGCAGUCAGAGCUGUGGAAUGUGCUGGAGAGCUUACCCCCUUUCCCCACCCCCAUUACAUUGAUAAAUCAAAUCCAGACACAAACCCAAUCCGCCUGAUACCCUAGCAAAAGCGCCCCCCCCCCCCCCCCCCGCUUCACACCCCAGCUGAUUCCAGAAAUAGCUCUGGCCCAGCCAGGCUGGCCCUGCUCCCUCCCUCCCUUCAGAAGCCACUAUUUGCCCACCAAGAGUCUGAACACACACAGCACAGGCUCUGGGGACAGAGACAUCCCUUAGGGAGAGGCUGCAGGGAAGAGGAGGCUUGGGUGGUCGACCCUUUGCUGUAAGUAAGACAGGUCUCCCCACCCUUUGUCUCUGCAUUAUAAAUAAAUCAACCAAACACCAUUGUCUAGGGUUUUUUUGGUUUUGUUCUGUUUUG
RNAcentral lists this long non-coding RNA (3842 nucleotides) under Sus scrofa (pig). RNAcentral describes it as "lncRNA (ENSSSCG00000058952.1)". Lineage: Eukaryota; Metazoa; Chordata; Mammalia; Artiodactyla; Suidae. The record is from RNAcentral.